Molecule: unclassified non-coding RNA, 216 nt
Filed under: Hevea brasiliensis (rubber tree)
Lineage: Eukaryota; Viridiplantae; Streptophyta; Magnoliopsida; Malpighiales; Euphorbiaceae
Source: RNAcentral
AUUAGCGUAGUCACUGUUAUUAUCUGUCAAUUCAGAUUCUUGCUGGGAAUGAUCGGAAUCCAAAUUCCCAAUUUCAAGAGGGAAAUUGAGUAUGGCCUUGCUUCCACGCAAUCUAAAGGCAGCACUAUCAUAAGCUUUUGCAGCUUCUAUAGCGGUAUUGAAUGUCCCUAGCCACACACGAGCGCCUUUCUUAUUAGGAUCUCGAAUCUCCGCUGC